AUGACGGCACGAUCAAGCCCAAAGACGACGACGUUUUCCUCGUCGUUUUCAUGGUCUUCUUCGCCGAUGAAAACAAUCCUGGGGAGGACGAUACCGUCGGAGUUGGCGGCGGUGGGUGUUGAAAUGGGGUUUGGGGAAAUGGCACGAGGUGGAAGGGGUGAGGAAGAGCGGAAGCAAAUGUAGGAAGCGAGGAGGAGAGUGGAGAGGAGGAGGAGGAAGCCGAGGGCGACGACGAUGGCGUAGCCGACGCCUAAAUUGGUGGUGAGAUAAGUAGGGGAUGAAAGGGGAGGGGUUGCCAUUUGAACGGAAAGGGAGAAUCCAUUUGGGGACUAAAAAAAAAAACACAGAAAACAAAAAGGAAGAAGAAGAUUGAGGAAGAGAAGGUGGGUAGAUGAAUGCUUUUGCCGCUGCAUUUAAUUUAAUACUUCAGCUGUUUUUUCCAAGUAGAGCCCCUGACAGUAAGAUUUCAUUUAGCUUUUUUUUUAAAAAUAAUAAUAAUAAAUUUACUUCAAA
This 513-nucleotide long non-coding RNA is filed under the name Gossypium barbadense (sea-island cotton). Its description in RNAcentral is "long non-coding RNA (GBAR_LNC011628)". Lineage: Eukaryota; Viridiplantae; Streptophyta; Magnoliopsida; Malvales; Malvaceae. The record is from RNAcentral.